This 253-nucleotide ribosomal RNA is filed under the name uncultured Oscillospira sp. RNAcentral describes it as "partial 16S ribosomal RNA". It matches the Rfam family "Bacterial small subunit ribosomal RNA", at positions 524 to 776 of the family's 1533-position model. Lineage: Bacteria; Bacillati; Bacillota; Clostridia; Eubacteriales; Oscillospiraceae. The record is from RNAcentral.
UACGGAGGAUGCGAGCGUUAUCCGGAUUUAUUGGGUGUAAAGGGCGUGUAGGCGGGAAAGCAAGUCAGAUGUGAAAACUCAGGGCUCAACCCUGAGCCUGCAUUUGAAACUGUUUUUCUUGAGUACUGGAGAGGCAGGCGGAAUUCCUAGUGUAGCGGUGAAAUGCGUAGAUAUUAGGAGGAACACCAGUGGCGAAGGCGGCCUGCUGGACAGAAACUGACGUUGAGGCUCGAAAGCGUGGGGAGCAAACAGG